Molecule: long non-coding RNA, 1710 nt
Organism: Macaca fascicularis (crab-eating macaque)
Lineage: Eukaryota; Metazoa; Chordata; Mammalia; Primates; Cercopithecidae
Source: Ensembl
GGCGUGUCCCUUCGGGCUCCCACAGUCAUAACUCAAAAGCUGAGGCCCCUCAAGCACUGAAAUCUGAACCACUCAUGUGCAACUGGAAGCCCGUGCCCCUCUGCUGUUUCCCAGGCUUCUCAUCGUUGGGUGACUCUGCCGUGACACCUCAGGGACUGGUGAUGGGUCGGGAUCUGCUUCCCCGCAAGCUGAGUGGCGUGGCUGGCUUUGUAUCUAGAGUCCUCCUGGUCCCCCUCAAAAGCUUCCCUGCACCAGCCUUGCUGCCAGACCCUCAGGAGCAUAGGGUGCUGUGGCCUCUGCAUGCCUCGCUGGACCGAGCCAGCACCACCUUCCCCGUCUGCUGCUUCUGGUUUACCAAGGGCCGGAAAGGCAAGGCCCCAGGCUCGAGGGUUUGUGCAAAGGGAAGUGGAGUCCACGCAGGGCCUGGCAAACUCCUCUGUGAUCAAGUGGACCUUGGAGAGCAUGGACCUUGGACCACUGGCUUUGAUGUUGCUUAGCACAGGCUGCUCUUUGCAUCUUGAUUUGGCCAUGGGUGGUUCAUGAAUCCAUUUGAAGGCAUGAAAAUGUGGUGCCUAAAAAUGCACGUGUUGAAGUCAAACAGCAUGGGAUCCAGCCCUGUUCUUCUGCUCAGGCCGGUGUGACCCUAGACAAGCGAUUACGUUCAUCUAAGCCUCGGUUUCUUCAGCUGUACUAUGGGAAUAACAACUGUCUCUUGUUCCCAGAGUGCUGAUGAGGAUUGAGUGUGCUUAUCCGUGUAAAGAGACUGGCUACGCCUGCUGUUUGUUUAUUUAUUUAUUUAUUGAGAUAGGGUCUCACUACGUCACCCAGGCUGGAGUGCAGUGAUGCAAUCUCAGCUCACUGCAACCUCCGCCUCCUGAGCUCAAGUGAUCCUCCAACCUCAGCCUCCCAAGUAGCUGGGACCACAGACAUGCGCCACCAUGCCAGCUAAUUUGUUGUAUUUUUGGUAAAGAUGGGUUUUUGCCAUGUUGCCCAGGCAGGUGGCAAACUCCUGAGCUCAAGCAAUCUGCCUACCUCGGUCUCCCAAAGUGCUGGGUUACAGGUAUGAGGCACCAUGCCUGGCCACCUGCUGUUUAAUUAGUGCUAACUGUGUGUGUGUGUGUGUGCGCAUGUAUGUGCACGCGUAUGUGGCCCACAGAGAGUUUCAGCUGUGCCCAGCAGGGCCAGGCUCUACACGAAGCCCUUUACACACACUGCCACAUGAAGAAAGAGCUUCCAUUAUCUAUCAUUAAGGAUGAGAAAAUUGAGACUCAGCAAGGCUUACUGACUUUUCCAAUAUCCAACCCAGCUACCUGAUUUGUGUCUCCAAACCCUCAGCCACCCGCUACCAAGCCUGACUCAUCAAGUAUCGCACAAGGGAAAUGGAUUUUCUACAAAAUAAGAAAACGCAGGCUGCGCAGUGGCUCACACCUAUAAUCUCAGCACUUUGGGAGGCCGAGGAGGGUGGAUCACGAGGUCAGGAGAUCGAGACCAUCCUAGCCAACAUGAUGAAACCCUGUCUCUACUAAAAAUACAAAAAUUAGCCGGGCGUGUUGGUGUGCACCUGUAGUCUCAGCUACUCGGGAGGCUGAGGCAGGAGAAUGGCUUGAACCCGGGAGGUGGAGGUUGCAGUGAGCCGAGACUGCGCCACUGCACUCCAGCCUGGUGAUGGAGCGAGACUCCGUCUCAAAAAAAAAGAAAAAAAAGAAAAAA